This 229-nucleotide unclassified non-coding RNA is filed under the name Hevea brasiliensis (rubber tree). Lineage: Eukaryota; Viridiplantae; Streptophyta; Magnoliopsida; Malpighiales; Euphorbiaceae. The record is from RNAcentral.
GCACCGUCGACCUGUUCCGUCACUUUCUCUUCGACCAAUCCCACCUUUCUCAGGUUCCUAUUCUUAAUCUUGCAACUAUAAGAUGGAUUCAGCCUAACACUCUAGUUCGGUUAAUGAUUCAAGACAUGUUAGGAAAUGAAUUCUAUGUUGGUGCUUACAAGGAUGGUUCAGUUUGGAGGACGAACAAGUACAUGGAUUUUUCUCAGUUCCCCAUAGGCUCUUCCCCAGA